AACGCAAGAAGGCUUGAGCGGGAAAAGUCCCCCUCCUUCACAGUUUCAAUUAAAAAGAAAUAAGAGAUCGGGAGUUCCCUUCGUGGCGUAGUGGUUAACGAACCCAACUAGGAACCAUGAGGUUUCGGGUUCGAUCCCUGACCUCGCUCAGUGGGUUAAGGACCCGGCGUUGCCAUGAGCUGUGGUGUAGGUCGCAGACACGGCUCGGAUCCUGCAUUGCUAUGGCUCUGGCAUAGGCCGGUGGCUGCAGCUGCGAUUCCACCCCUAGCCUGGGAACCUCCAUAUGCCACAGGAAGUGGCCCUAGAAAAAGGCAAAAAGACCAAAAUAAAUAAAUAAAUAAAUAAAAGAAAUGAGAUCAAAAAAAUUGUGACCUCUGUGGAAGAACAGAAUUUCACAAUGAAAUAUCUGUAUUCAGGCUCUUUUUGAAAGACCGUUGAUAACGGGCAGCCCAGAUUCUGCAUCCUGUCAAGCACCAGGCCUCCAUCCAACGGUGGCUGACUCCUUUGGAUGGAUAUGGCUCCUCCCUUCUUGCUAUUUGCCGCAUUUUACAAGCGGACCUGACCCUGUAGGCAUUUAUGUUUGCUACUCUUGUAGAGGUCUCUCGCCGGGUUGUCGGAGCCAUUGACUGAUUCAUUCAUGUGUGCAAUAGUUUGGAACCCUGAUCUGCGUGGCAGGCAUGGUGCCAGAUGGAGGAGAUAUAAUGGUGGCCAAGACAGGUGUCACCCCUCUCCUCGUGGAUCCCCCAGUGUCCUGGGGAAGCUCGAUAUGAAAAGAUGAUGCAACUCAUGUGACGUACAAGGGCCACAAAGGCAAAUUGUAUUAUUAAAAUAAAGCACCAUUUGGCUUAGAUGUUUAACUUGUCACUAAGCCACCAAAAUGUCUCAGAAGACAGCACGUUUUCUUCACUUUCCCAAAAGACUGUCACGGGUGACACCGAGGAGAGCUUUGCUAAGGUGCACAUAUGCAUGCCCUGUCACUCUUCUCUUGUCCACCCCAUUAGCAACUGUCCAAGAGCAAACCACACCAAGCGAAACACACACACAGAGAAAAUGAGGUUCAUCUGCUAUGUCUCACACUCCUUAUGCUGGCUCUUCUGUCUGCAGAAUCCACCAUUUCUCCCCCCCCCCACAACCUUUUUGGGUCUGAAAAGAACAUUUCAUGCGGGAUCCACGUUAAAAACACGAUUCUGGGGCGUUCCCAUUGUGGCUCAGUGGUAAUGAACUCGACUAGGAUCCAUGAGGAUGUGGGUUCGAUCCCUGGCCUCACUCAGUGGGUUAAGGAUCUGGUGUUGCCAUGAGCGGUGGUGUAGGUCGCAGAUGUGUCUCAGAUCCCACUGUGGUGUAGGUCAGUAGCUAUAGCUCCAAUUGGACCCCUAGCCUGGACCCCUAGCAAUUGGACCCAGGCUAUGGGUCUGGUCCUAAAAAGACAUACGUAAAUAAAUAAAUAUAAAAAUAAGAUUCUGAGUUCCCGUUGUGGUGCAGUGGUUAAUGAAUCUGACUAGGAAACAUGAGGUUGUGGGUUCGAUCCCUGGCCUUGCUUAGUGGGUUAAGGAUCCAGCGUUGCUGUGAGCUGUGGUGUAGGUUGUAGAUGCGGCUUGGUUCUGACGUUGCUGUGGCUGGUGUAGGCUGGCAGCAACAGUUCCGAUUGGACCCCUAGCCUGGGAACCUCCAUAUGCU
RNAcentral lists this long non-coding RNA (1677 nucleotides) under Sus scrofa (pig). RNAcentral describes it as "lncRNA (ENSSSCG00005010487.1)". The record is from RNAcentral. Lineage: Eukaryota; Metazoa; Chordata; Mammalia; Artiodactyla; Suidae.